This 380-nucleotide ribosomal RNA is filed under the name uncultured bacterium. Its description in RNAcentral is "bacterial SSU rRNA". It matches the Rfam family "Bacterial small subunit ribosomal RNA", at positions 30 to 420 of the family's 1533-position model. The record is from RNAcentral.
AUUGAACGCUGGCGGAAUGCCUAACACAUGCAAGUCGAGCGGGGUGUAGCAAUACACCUAGCGGCGGACGGGUGAGCAAUACAUAGGAAUCUACCUUUCAGUGGGGGAUAGCCCGGGGAAACCCGGAUUAAUACCGCAUGAUGUCGCAAGACCAAAGCGGGGGACCGUAAGGCCUCGCGCUGAAUGAUGAGCCUAUGUCUGAUUAGCUAGUUGGCGGGAAAAGCCCACCAAGGCUACGAUCAGUAGCUGGUUUGAGAGAACGAUCAGCCACACCGGAACUGAGACACGGUCCGGACUCCUACGGGAGGCAGCAGUGGGGAAUAUUGGACAAUGGGCGCAAGCCUGAUCCAGCAAUUCCGCGUGUGUGAAGAAGGCCUGGU